GUGGGGAUUAGUGGCGAACGGGUGAGUAACACGUGGGCAAUCUGCCCUGCACUCUGGGACAAGCCCUGGAAACGGGGUCUAAUACCGGAUACUGACCUGCCAAGGCAUCUUGGCGGGUCGAAAGCUCCGGCGGUGCAGGAUGAGCCCGCGGCCUAUCAGCUUGUUGGUGAGGUAAUGGCUCACCAAGGCGACGACGGGUAGCCGGCCUGAGAGGGCGACCGGCCACACUGGGACUGAGACACGGCCCAGACUCCUACGGGAGGCAGCAGUGGGGAAUAUUGCACAAUGGGCGAAAGCCUGAUGCAGCGACGCCGCGUGAGGGAUGACGGCCUUCGGGUUGUAAACCUCUUUCAGCAGGGAAGAAGCGAAAGUGACGGUACCUGCAGAAGAAGCGCCGGCUAACUACGUGCCAGCAGCCGCGGUAAUACGUAGGGCGCAAGCGUUGUCCGGAAUUAUUGGGCGUAAAGAGCUCGUAGGCGGCUUGUCGCGUCGGUUGUGAAAGCCCGGGGCUUAACCCCGGGUCUGCAGUCGAUACGGGCAGGCUAGAGUUCGGUAGGGGAGAUCGGAAUUCCUGGUGUAGCGGUGAAAUGCGCAGAUAUCAGGAGGAACACCGGUGGCGAAGGCGGAUCUCUGGGCCGAUACUGACGCUGAGGAGCGAAAGCGUGGGGAGCGAACAGGAUUAGAUACCCUGGUAGUCCACGCCGUAAACGGUGGGCACUAGGUGUGGGCAACAUUCCACGUUGUCCGUGCCGCAGCUAACGCAUUAAGUGCCCCGCCUGGGGAGUACGGCCGCAAGGCUAGAACUCAAAGGAAUUGACGGGGGCCCGCACAAGCGGCGGAGCAUGUGGCUUAAUUCGACGCAACGCGAAGAACCUUACCAAGGCUUGACAUACACCGGAAAGCAUCAGAGAUGGUGCCCCCCUUGUGG
This 928-nucleotide ribosomal RNA is filed under the name Streptomyces sp. RNAcentral describes it as "bacterial SSU rRNA". It matches the Rfam family "Bacterial small subunit ribosomal RNA", at positions 85 to 1024 of the family's 1533-position model. The record is from RNAcentral. Lineage: Bacteria; Bacillati; Actinomycetota; Actinomycetes; Kitasatosporales; Streptomycetaceae.